CGCUAGGACACGACCCCACCGCCCGCUGGCCAGCCUGAGGGCACCCUCCCGGCGCCGGCUUCGCGGAGGCCAAGCGACAGCCGCCUCCUUAUUGGGAACGGAGAGGGCGGCAGCCGGGCCCGCCCCGCCGAGGCCCGAGGCCCAACGCCGCGACACGGGCCGAGCAGCGGCCAGGCAAGCGCGCGUUCCCCGCACCCGUCCGUGGGUCUGGCCCGGGUCUCCUCACCAGUUCCGCGCACGGGGAGGGGCUGGCAACGGGCCGGAGGGGGCAGCGGCGCCCGAGGAGAGAGCGCGGCCCCGGGCCUCGUGUCACUCACCGUUUGAAAUGCUCGAUGAUCUUCUCUUCCCGCACAUUCUCCGGAUGUUAGAAGGCUAAGCAAGUCCCUGUCUUACUUACACAGUUGCAACAAUUACAGAACAAGAUGUGCUAGCUCAGCCGAUUAACAGUGUUGUGAUUGGGACUACCCUGGUGGCGCAGUGGUUAAGAAUCCACCCGCCAGUGCAGGAGACACGGGUUCGAGCCCUGGUCCGGGAAGAUCCCACAUGCUGCAGAACAACUAAGCCCGUGCGCCACAACUCCUGAGCCUGUGCUCUAGAGCCCGCGAGCCACAGCUACUGAAGCCCGUGCACCUAGAGCCCGUGCUCCUCAAGAAGAGAAGCCACCGCAAUGAGAAGCCCGCGCACCGCAACAAAGAGUAGCCCCUGCUCGCCAGGACUAGAGAAAGCCGGCGUGCAGCAACAAAGACCCAACACAGCCAAAUAAAUACAUAAAUAAUAACGAUGUUGUGAUAGUUUCAGGUACAUAGCAAAGGGACUCAGCCAUACAUAUACAUGUAUCCAUUCUCCCUCAAACUCCCCUCCCAACCAGGCUGCCACAUAGCUUUGAGCAGAGUUCCCUGUGCUAUACAGUAGAUUAUACCUAAUAGUUAGAAUUGUGAAUACAACUUAUUAAUGUUUAUGGCACUGAAUAAAAGAUAGACUGGAAGGAUACUUGCAAAUAUUAAUAAUGGUUGUGCCUAUGUGGUAGAAUUCAAUUUUUUUUCAAGUUCUUAUUCAUCUAUAUUUUCUAAACUUUUCUUUGGUUAACAUAUAUUGCUCUUAUAAUUAGAAAAAGUUACAGUAAAAUGAGCUGGAAGUCAACAUCUGGGUUACUUUAGUUUAGGGCUCCUCUGAAAUGCUGAUACUUCACUACAAUGAAUCAACAUAUUUAUGUUAACAGAUCCCACAUGAACAAAACGUUAUCAUUCUCUAUGUUAAUUCAGAGAGUUCAUUCAACCUUUUAAAAUUCUACUACUAAUCCUCAUGUGAGAAAAAACUUAGCCUCUUCAUUAUAAAUGAUAUACAAUAGCAAAAACACCUCAGGUCUAAGAGAUUGUCACUUAAACAUCAGGAAGUCAGCAGAAUACACAUAAUGCAAA
Physeter macrocephalus (sperm whale) is the source of this 1418-nucleotide long non-coding RNA. RefSeq lists it as uncharacterized. The record is from RefSeq and is a predicted model, not a curated record. Lineage: Eukaryota; Metazoa; Chordata; Mammalia; Artiodactyla; Physeteridae. The transcript has 3 exons.